Molecule: non-coding RNA, 293 nt
Organism: Pelobates cultripes (western spadefoot toad)
Lineage: Eukaryota; Metazoa; Chordata; Amphibia; Anura; Pelobatidae
Source: the annotation of a GenBank genome assembly
GUUACAUGUGAUAAUGUCUUUUAAACUAAAGGAUUUUUUUGUGUUGUUUGACAUAAAAUGUGAUCUACGUUUCUCUUUUUUGUUUUUUCCAAGCUAUGCAGGUAUUGCAUUUGAAGAAAACUUUAUUCUUUUUAAAAAUUAUUUUUAUUUUACGCUCAGGCGCCCACUCUUCCCCUGUAAUCUGCAUGUUAAUCUGUGUGUGCCGUGCAGAGCUGGCUGAGGCGCUGGGAGCGGAGGAAUUGUAUUUAUUAGAAAAUAUUUGCAGAAGCAGACUCUGAGAACAACUGUCAAAC